Long non-coding RNA from Equus caballus (horse), 718 nucleotides. The record is from Ensembl. Lineage: Eukaryota; Metazoa; Chordata; Mammalia; Perissodactyla; Equidae.
GUUUAAAUCAUCACGCACAGUUUUUUCCUGUGCUUCCUCAUGCUGGUAGUGUCUUUCCAUUUCCACUCUUUUCAAGGGCGCCAUUCAAUUUGUCUUGCCUUCCUUCCUCUCCACAUCAGCCCAGCACACCAAGAAAUGGAAGAUGGAGCAUGAGCACUUCUAGUAUGUGCUUUACUUCCUCAGGAUGGAGAGGACAGAAGACCCUAGAAGGUUGGCAUCCCAGUUCCAUGAAAGGCAACUCUACCAGGUUGCUUGCCAAGGCCCCGUGGCCCCUACCACCCUCCCUGACAUUCAUAGCAGCAGCCCCUUCCCUCUUUGCCUUGGAGACAGUGGGAUCACCAAACUUUACAAAGAAGAGGUCACUCGAGGCUGAACACUGUCCCCGUCACUGCUGCACAUGUUUCUCCUGCAAGUCUGCGAUGGAGCACUGUUUUCCUUUACAUGGAUAAGCAUCUCUUCCUCGAAACUAAGGAUUAAUUAUUGACCUGCUCUGCUCACCUUGUGAUCACUCACCUGCUAACCACCAACCUGCUGUGCCAGCUCAGCAUCUCAAGACAGUAGUAAAAGAGAUAUUCCUGUCGUAUGUGAUGUAUGCUCUUUGUUCCAAGACUGCAUAUAACCACUCUGUACACCCCACUUCUUUGGUGCCCUUCCUUCCUCGGGGAAGGAAGGCCCCAGGCUAGAGUCCUCAAACCUGGCUCAUAAUAAACUCACCCCA